Long non-coding RNA from Gasterosteus aculeatus aculeatus (three-spined stickleback), 1237 nucleotides. Lineage: Eukaryota; Metazoa; Chordata; Actinopteri; Perciformes; Gasterosteidae. The record is from Ensembl.
CCGUUUUUUGUCAUAUUUAUUUAUUCAUCUAUCUAAACUGUAGGAAUGUUGAAGGGCUGCAGCUCGCAUGCUGCAGCGUGGCGGUUCAUUGAGUUUCUGAUUGACAGCGUGAGAGAGAAGAUGUCGUCUGUCGCCCAGCAGCAGAGAGAACGAACAGACAUUCGUAACUCUGGAGUUGCACUUGACUGCGUCAUUAGAGACGCUCACACGUCCCGAUGAACUUGGGGUUUGAAUUUGCUUUAUUUGUAGAGAAUUGAACUUGUUUGUGCUUUGAGUUGCCUGACUUCAUUUUUUAGAAGCAUUCAUGUUUCAAUCAAAAUGUUCCAUAUCGGAAACCUGUUCAUUGACUAAAUAUUCUCUUCUUCUUCCGCCUGAUGUCUGAUUACAGGAGGAAGUGAGUCAACAAUUGAAAUCAGGCUUAAAAUGUCGACUGAAACCUUUGUGUGUCAUUAAAUACACAAACGCUCAUUAACUCAAGAUCAUUGUUGUUUCACUUCAUUCAAGUCAACGAGUAAUAAAGAACAUGUGAUUCUCUUUGGUCUGAAGAAAACAAGACGGAUUCAUUUGGUUUUAUUUUUAUUAAAAUUUAUUUUCAUUGUUAAAAUAAUAAACAGAUAUUUAUAAACAAUAAUAAUAAACAACAUAUUUAACAAUAAUAAUAACGCAAUCAUUGGGAAAACAUCUGAAGCAGUUCCUGAGAAGAGAGAAAAGAAGAAAAGUUAUUAACAUGUUAAUGUUGUUAGUGUGUCUGUGUGUACAUCUAAUUGUUAGUGUGUCUGUGUGUACAUCUAAAUAUUAAUAUGUCUUUGUGUACAUCUAAUUGUUAGUGUGUCCCGAUGACGUAGCGUCCCGAUGACGUGGCGUCCUGAUGGCGUCCUGAUGGCGUCCUGUUGGUCUGCAGACAAGGAGAAGAGACAUCUGGAUUUGCUCCUGAGGGGUUGACGCGGCGUCCUGAUGGCGUCCUGUUGGUCUGCAGACAAGGAGAAGAGACGUGAGGAGGAUCAUCAGGAUGUGUCUAUCUGGAUUUGCUCCUGAGGGGUUGACGCGGUGUCCUGAUGGCGUCCUGAUGACGUGGUGUCCUGAUGGCGUCCCGAUGACGUAGCGUCCUGAUGGCGUCCCGAUGACGUGGCGUCCUGAUGGCGUCCCGAUGACGUGGCGUCCUGAUGGCGUCCCGAUGACGUAGCGUCCCGAUGACGUGGCGUCCUGAUGGCGUCCUGUUGGCCUGCAGACAAGGAGA